AACAUCGCGCACCUGCGGGAACCUGCGGAAGGAUCAUUACAUGGCGGAGAAGGUGGGCACCUGGCAAACUCCAGGUUGUGAUGCCUUCACGCUCUUCCACCCUUGUCUAUUUGCACCUUCUGUCGUUCCCUCGGCGGGUUUCGACCCGCCGGCGGCAACAUUGAAAAACCUUUUUUGCAGUUAGCAUCCAGUUCUUCUGAUCAAAAUAUCAAAUCGUUACAACUUUUAACAAUGGAUCUC
RNAcentral lists this unclassified non-coding RNA (240 nucleotides) under soil metagenome. RNAcentral's name for it is "partial contains 5.8S ribosomal RNA, internal transcribed spacer 2, and large subunit ribosomal RNA". The record is from RNAcentral.